This 237-nucleotide ribosomal RNA is filed under the name uncultured bacterium. Its description in RNAcentral is "partial 16S ribosomal RNA". It matches the Rfam family "Bacterial small subunit ribosomal RNA", at positions 28 to 255 of the family's 1533-position model. The record is from RNAcentral.
GAUGAACGCUAGCUACAGGCUUAACACAUGCAAGUCGAGGGGGCAGCUAUUUUUAUAGCAAUAUAAAAGAUGGCGACCGGCGCACGGGUGAGUAACACGCAUCCAACCUGCCGAUAACUCGGGGAUAACCCUUCGAAAGAAGGCCUAAUACCCGAUGGCAUACUCCCUUCCGCCUGGGUGGGGAUAUUAAAGACUUCGGUUAUCGAGUGGGGAUGCGUUCCAUUAGCUUGUGGCGGG